CGGAGGGUGCGAGCGUUGUUCGGAAUUAUUGGGCGUAAAGCGCGUGUAGGCGGCUCCUUAAGUCUGAUGUGAAAGCCCCGGGCUCAACCUGGGAAGUGCAUUGGAAACUGGGGAACUUGAAUACGGGAGAGGGUAGUGGAAUUCCUGGUGUAGGAGUGAAAUCCGUAGAUAUCAGGAGGAACACCGGUGGCGAAGGCGGCUGCCUGGGCCGAUAUUGACGCUGAGACGCGAAAGCGUGGGGAGCAAACAGGAUUAGAUACCCUGGUAGUCCACGCCGUAAACGAUGAGUACUAGGUGUUGCGGGUAUUGACCCCUGCAGUGCCGCAGCUAACGCAUUAAGUACUCCGCCUGGGAAGUACGGUCGCAAGACUA
This 372-nucleotide ribosomal RNA is filed under the name uncultured organism. RNAcentral describes it as "bacterial SSU rRNA". It matches the Rfam family "Bacterial small subunit ribosomal RNA", at positions 526 to 896 of the family's 1533-position model. The record is from RNAcentral.